CUUCAAAUUUGACACUAUUUUGACAACGUCACGUGUCGGCUUGUUAUUGGGCGUUUUUUUUAAAAAAAAAAAAAUUCAAAAAAGUGACAUAAUUUAAUAUGAAAUGGUUUUAAAUAUUUGUUUCCAAGUUUGCCCUUGGCCAGAUUCAUGUGACAUAAAAGUUCUCUUUCUUCCCUGUUUCAUCAGUUGUUGAGUUUCUCCGACAGGUUCGUUCUCUUCCCUUACGGUCAUCCAAAAUCGUUUUUGUCUUCGUUUUUGUCAUCUCACUGUCGUUGGUCCUUGUGGUUGCCCUCUUGGCCUUCGUUAUCGGGGUGGGUGUUGCGGUGAUUGCAUCUUUUGGUUGUUGGUGUGUUCGCGUUGCGAAAUGACGAGUUCUUCGACCCGGGUAAGCGCGUUAAUCUUUGGUUGGUUUGUGGUGUUUAGUGCUUGGUAUUUGGAGUUUGGGUUUUGUGUGUUUUUUUUUAUUUAGGGUUUUGAAGUUU
RNAcentral lists this long non-coding RNA (482 nucleotides) under Vigna radiata. RNAcentral's name for it is "long non-coding RNA (VRAD_LNC009081)". Lineage: Eukaryota; Viridiplantae; Streptophyta; Magnoliopsida; Fabales; Fabaceae. The record is from RNAcentral.